CGUGAGGCGAUGGGGGGGGAGGUGAUGGUGGCGGUGGUGCCCGGGCCCUCCUCCCUUCCACUCCAGCCGCAGGGGGCUCCGCGGUGACUCAGCGCCGUCCCCCUAGGAGCGGGGGCGGUGGGUGUCCUCAGAGGGCUGAGGGGGGGCUCAGGCUGCCGGCUUCCCUCCCGCUUUCCCGCAGAGGUCCGGCGCAGCCCCCCGGUGACCUGCCGUGUGCCAGCCCGCGGCCUCCGCGCGACCUGAGCCAAUGCUAGAUCUGGAGGUGGUGCCCGAGCGGUCUCUGGGAAACGAACAAUGGGAGUUCACCUUGGGAAUGCCAUUGGCUCAGGCUGUAGCAAUUCUUCAGAAACACUGUCGCAUUAUCAAAAACGUCCAAGUUCUCUACAGCGAGCAGUCACCUCUUAGCCAUGACCUCAUCCUUAACCUGACUCAGGAUGGAAUCAAACUGCUGUUUGAUGCUUUCAAUCAGAGACUUAAGGUGAUUGAAGUUUAUGACUUGACUAAGGUGAAGUUAAAAUAUUGUGGUGUCCAUUUUAACUCUCAGGCAAUUGCUCCAACCAUAGAACAAAUUGAUCAGUCAUUUGGAGCAACACAUCCAGGAGUGUAUAAUUCAGCUGAGCAGCUCUUUCACCUCAAUUUCAGAGGACUGUCGUUUUCUUUUCAGUUGGACUCCUGGACUGAAACGCCGAAGUACGAGCCGAACUUUGCCCAUGGUCUGGCCUCUCUGCAGAUUCCCCACGGCGCGACUGUGAAGCGGAUGUACAUCUACAGUGGAAACAGUCUGCAGGAUACCAAGGCUCCCUUGAUGCCUCUCAGCUGUUUCCUUGGCAAUGUGUAUGCUGAGAACGUUGACGUUCUGAGAGAUGGAACUGGACCCUCAGGUUUACGGCUUCGCCUACUCACUGCAGGUUGUGGCCCGGGUGUUUUAGCCGAUGCCAAGAUGCGGGUACUUGAGCGCUGUGUGUACUUCGGUGAUUCGUGCCAGGAUGUGCUGAGCACCUUGGGGUCUCCACACAAAGUCUUCUACAAGUCUGAAGAUAAGAUGAAAAUCCAUUCCCCCUCGCCCCAUAAGCAGGUCCCAUCAAAGUGCAAUGACUACUUCUUCAACUAUUUCACGCUCGGAGUGGAUAUUCUCUUUGAUGCAAACACUCACAAGGUGAAGAAAUUUGUCCUGCAUACAAAUUAUCCUGGCCAUUACAACUUCAACAUUUACCAUCGCUGUGAAUUCAAGAUUCCACUAGUCAUUAAGCGAGACAGUGCAGAUUCACAGACAGAAACGUGUACAACGUACAGCAAGUGGGACAGUAUUCAGGAUCUUCUGGGGCACCCUGUGGAGAAGCCAGUGGUACUUCACAGGUCAUCAUCUCCAAACAACACCAACCCAUUUGGGUCAACCUUUUGCUUUGGACUGCAACGAAUGAUCUUUGAGGUGAUGCAGAAUAAUCACAUAGCUUCCGUUACUCUGUACGGCCCCACACGGCCCAGCAGCCAGUUGAGGACAUCGGACCUUCCCCACCUUUCCACCCAGGAGCAGUGUGGAGGGGAAAUUCUCUCAACCCUUCAUCAUGGGGCAUGGAACUGUUGCUGGAGGAAAGCAGCUUAGGUGCCUGUGCCGUCGUGUAUUCCUCUCUGUUGCCCUCAUCCUAUGCAGCACAGACCUGAAGAGACUGUCCCCCGCCUUCUCAGCUGGCAGAAGGGGGAAAUGGAAGAGGGGCACGUAAUGACUGCAAGAGUUAGAAGCACAAACUCUCUGAGCCUUGGAGCAUCUGGAAGCAGCUGAUGCAGUACGUUGUCCAAAGAAGCAGUAUGAAAACUAACAUAACUUGCAAUCUGUUCCCUAGUAGAUACAUGAAAAAUGCAGGUACAUGACAAAUUUUUGCCCUGAAGUGGAAAAGGAAAGUCUUUCAACUAUGUCCUUUCCCAGUAAAGGCUCCAGAGGAGCUGCAGGAGGAGAUAAAUUCUUGAUGGGACGAUUUGAGUAAUGGCUCUGCAGAUUCUACCAAUAUCCUGCUCUCAAGCAUAUUGAGAAGUGUGAGCUCAGGACUGCUGCUAGAAUGUGCACCUCAGGACUUAGGACAGGAUGUCAGCAGCUACCCAAGCAUUUCAUUCGUUUACACCUAAUAGCAUCGAUUGUUGUGCCCUUCUUGGAGAUGAAGUUGAUGUUUUCUCCCAUAUUCAGGCCUGCAAGCAGUUCCUGGGCUCCUGAGGUGUAUGUUCUCCUUGGAGGAUUCAAGUUGAACUUGAAUACCAUGUUCUCUACCUAUGUGAGUUUUAGCUGAACUAAUGAAGUCCCUGUUUAAACAUUUUAUCUGCCAAACCUUAUAUCCAAGGCUUGUGUUUUGUUUGUGGGGAUGUAUAUCUUUCCAGCAUACAGAAUUCUUCCUUUUCCUGAUAUGGGAACAGUGACUGCUUGAAACAGCAGGAAAGGUAAGCAGGAGUUUGGGAAGGAGUCACUUACUGUGGAGUGAGAUACUGUUACAACAGUGACUUGUGUUCUGGACUGCACUGUAAUGUUUUAACAGAACCUCCUCUCUUUCAUGCCCUGAUUAAUUCUCCUUUAAAUGUUACUAGUUUGGUCACUUGAAAGUGUUGCAUAUUGCAGUUUUGGAAGCUGCUUUUAAAUGCCUUAAAGCUUCCCACCCACGCUCUGUGUUCUGCUCAGUCCCUAAGUUUCAUUCCUGUAUUAAUAUCCUUCAGAGACACUUGUUGUAAAUGCCAGUCAGUGAAAAAGAAACACCCCAAAACAAGCCAAGCCCUGCCUGCUCAUGCAGUGAGGAGGCCAAUCAGGUCUUUAGAACAGUCUGAAUUGCUGUUUGUCCCUCUGCUCAUCUCUCUUUGCAAAACUGUACCCCCAAAAUCCCACAUUUGCCCAGUUCCUGGCUGAGGAGCUCUGUGGCACCCACAAGUUCAGGGGCUACUAAGAUUAUUUCACUCUUUUCUUCUCCUUCUAUGGCUUCAGGGAUCCUGUGAGUGUCUUAAUAUCACCCUUUUAUUCCCACCCAGCUUAGUCAGACCCCGCUGAGGACAGAGCCGUUGGGAUGUGUUGGUUUGUGGUUUCUGACUGGGAAAGGGAGGGGGAGGGAGGAAAUCUGUGAGCUGGGUUUGGCUGUGCUGGAGAGAGCACUGGGCUGGCCAGGACUGGUGGGGGAGCUGUCUGCUGCAUUUGGAAGGACUCUGAUGCACUCAUCCCUUGGGCUUUAGUUUCCUCUCCCGUUUCUCAGUAUGGUUCAGGUUUCUUUUUUGCUGGCCAUAAGCCUAGAAAAUCAUCACAAAGUGGAUUUGAAGGAUUUACUGGUUUUGAUGAAUGUCAGUAGAGUCAGCAGCAUUGGUAAGGAGAUGUGGUGGGUUCACUCUCAGAGCUGCUGGCACAUGGGGCUCCAGCUGAAGGGUGCAGCCCGGGGGCUCAGCCGUCCAAACUGGGCGUUGGGGUAGACUUUUUUCCCCUCUGUGGUCUUUCAGCACUCUGUGGGGAACAUCCUCAGUGCUAAUGUUUAGUGAGGAGCUGUUUGAGUAUUUUGUGCUGUUUGACUUUGCAGUUGGGGUUUGUUUCUGAGAAACUUGCUGUAGCAAGAUGAAUAAUCAAACUGCAGCCAGGAAGCACAGUAUGUUAACAGUUGCUGCUUCAGAGGUGGCUUUGACUUGCUGUUUUAUGAUGUUUAAGUCAGCAGUGGCCUGACCAAAUGUUGGAUCUUGGCAUUUGCUAACUUUUUAUGUGUUUAGAGAUGCAUUUGGAGGUGCUGAAUGUGAGGUUCAAGCCAGCUCUGCUUGUUAUAUUGACCAAAUCUGGCUGCUCAUCUACAGGAGGAACAAAAUCUGUCUGUUUGUGGAUCCCUGAGAUUCAAUAAAACCUACUGUACUGACUUAGCUUCAAAUGUUUGUCUGUCUCAAGGAACUUUGCUUGCUUUCCUUACUACUGGUGGAACCCACUUAGGAGCUUUGCAUGUAUUCCUUUCUCAUCGUGGGUGAGUCCUGAAAAAAAUUGCCAAGCAAGACUUUGUAGCAAAACCCCAAGUAGUGCAUUGAGUUAGCAGUUAACAAAAGUACUCAUUCUGAAAUGGAGGGUUGGUUUUCUGAGAUACAUCAGAGAGGUCAGUAGAGGGUCCUUCCUGCCAGUCCUCACACUCACUUAGGGCUUCAGGACUUUCUGAAAAGGCCCCCCAUCUUUUAGGAAACAAUCUCUAGCCUGGGUGAAGUCAGAGACUUUCUGCCUGCCCUUGCAGUGAGCAGAAUUUAAUAAAGUGCAGGGGCUACAGCCAAAUGAAAGCUUUUAAAACCAGGUCAAAUAGGCCAUGCAGCAGAGGCUGGAAGACAAAAGCAGAUAUCUCUUUCCUUAAUAGAUAACGAGAUUUAGUAUUGAUUGGGUAAAAGAACACGAGUUAUCCCAUAGACUAAGACAACAGAGUGAACCGUUCUCUCUAGUGUCUCUGCCAGCUCUCAGGGUCUCUGCUGUCAGAAGCAGAUGCUAAACAACUACUUUGAUCUGGGGCAAAAUGCCCUCAUUAAUGGUGUGUUGCUGGUAGAUUGCAGAUCUGAAAACAUUAUAGAGAGGGAAGUCAAUGUCUGCGUCUCCGAGCCGAGGAGGAUGUUAGUGAGGACUGCUGAACCCGACUAGCUGCCUUGGAGGAGUUCAUAAGGGAAUUUCAGAAGGCUUUUAUUCUGAAGCCCUUUUGCUUGCUCCCUUCACGUGACAUCUGCAGCAAUAUGAGAAAUCUCAGCUGCUGGCUGCAGUUGGCUGUGUGCCAGGGAAGAGCACCAAGGUCUGCAGCAACCAGGCCAUGGACAACAUUUCCUUGGGUUUGAAGAAGCUCCCAAAUGUGAUGUAAGCAGCAAAAAUGCGUGGUUUUACCCCCACAAGUGAAGGUCAAAGGAUCUCUCCAGAUGCAAUCCUUCUGAAGAGCUGGAUAAGACAGUGAGAGAGAUCAGAUCCUGUCGGAUGACUCUGAGGUUUUCACUGAGUGCCAGCCAGUACAGUGUAGAGCCUGAGCUCGUGGAAUUGCCAGAAACUGGUCCCCUGAGUGCUGAGUGUGUCAGUGGGGCAGAUACUUGAACUCAGAUGUUGCUACAAGAGCAAAAUCAAGACUCAGAAGGAUCAACUUCCAAGGUCGUCUUGUCCUUCUUUUUAAGGCUCUUCAGAAGGCUGCCCAUUCCCACUUGUCUGCUUGCCUAUCUUUUUCUCAGCCAGCCUCAGCAUGCCCUUUUUUUUUCCUGUAGGCCACCCUAUCUACCCCAUAUAGAACCUCAUUUCGAUAGCUAUUAGCUGCUCCUCUCUUCUUACAAGGUCUACAGAAAGCCAUCCUGGCAGUAGUGAUUUCAUUUGAGCAUACACUAAAAGUGACUUCAUUUAUUCUAGUUACUGUGUAGUUUGGUCAUUUCUCAAUGUGUCCAGGUCAAGGUAAAAAGCUGGUAACGAUCCCUGUGUCAUUUCUCAGCCUCUAGAUCUUCUUUCCUUUCUCCCAUUAGUAACAGCUAUGUAGAAUCUGCAAGGAUUGGAUUUUGCAAUGUGCUUUUUACACACUGGGCCACUGAGCACUGCUGUAACUCUAAUAAAUAACAAUAAAUUAAA
Colius striatus (speckled mousebird) is the source of this 5563-nucleotide RNA transcript. It is a transcript of the gene named phagosome assembly factor 1, with no coding region annotated. The transcript has 22 exons. The record is from RefSeq and is a predicted model, not a curated record. Lineage: Eukaryota; Metazoa; Chordata; Aves; Coliiformes; Coliidae.